Molecule: RNA transcript, 3763 nt
Organism: Seriola aureovittata
Lineage: Eukaryota; Metazoa; Chordata; Actinopteri; Carangiformes; Carangidae
Gene: adam19a
Gene name: ADAM metallopeptidase domain 19a
Exons: 24
Source: RefSeq, a predicted model, not a curated record
GAGGGAGGCAGAGUUGAACAACGGCGAGGAAAAGGAGGACGGUCGGUGGUACCGAGGGUCACAGGGAUGUACAGUAAACACAGGCAGAAAAAUGGUCAAAUAUCACCGGCAAAAUGUGGACGUUUGCUCCUUUUUCUGUCUUUUCUGUUGCUGAACGGGACUUUGGAAAGAGCCAGCGGAGACACCGGAGAGGAAGGGCCGAGGACGGGAAGGACAGUGACGGCACAGUGGCUUUCUCAAGGCCGGAUCAAGAGGGAGGCUGAGACCCUGACACAGGUAGAGCAUCCGGUCAGAGGGGAGAUAGUGCUGUCAUCAAGUAACCUCCACCUGGUGCUACAAGUGGAACGUAAUCACGAGCUUUUAGGUCCAGACUUCACAGAGACCUACUAUACAGAAGAUGGACAGCCGGUGACUGUGACCAAUCACAAUUACACUGACCACUGCUUCUACCACGGCCAUGUGAGAGGACAUCCAGAGUCCUGGGUGGCUCUCAGCACCUGCUCAGGAGUCAGGGGCCUGAUAUCCUUGAAUUCUAGUGACACCUACUACCUGGAGCCAAUCGGUGGUGUGGAUCCUCCUCACCAUUCACUGCUGAGUACGGAGGAACUGCCUAUUAAAGGUGGAAACUGUGGCCACAGCCAUCAAACUGCACAGUCCAACCACAUCUCUGACCUGCUCAGACCAUUUAAUUUAAGGGUUAAAAGGAACACCUGGGGUACAACCAAGUACAUGGAGCUGUACAUCGUGGCUGACAACACACUGUUUAAGCGGCAGAAUAAGGACUAUGAAAAGACCAAGGCAAGGAUAAUGGAAAUUGCCAAUUACGUGGAUAAGUUCUACAGGGCUCUGAACAUCCGUGUGCCUCUGAUCGGCCUGGAGGUUUGGACUGACAGGGACCAGUGCAUCGUGACGGAGGAGCCGAAUGCCACCCUCUGGUCCUUCCUGCAGUGGAGACAGAAGCUGAAAUCCCGCAAGAAGCACGACAAUGCGCAGCUGCUGACGGGUGUGAUUUUCAAGGGGACGACUAUUGGGAUGGCACCACUGGAGGGGAUGUGCAGCCUGGAAAACUCUGGAGGCAUCAAUGUGGACCACUCUGAGCUGUCCAUUGGUGCUGCAGCAACCAUGGCCCACGAGAUCGGCCACAACUUCGGGAUGAGCCAUGACCACGAGGGCUGCUGUGUGGAGGCCACCGCCGAGCAGGGAGGCUGUGUGAUGGCUGCCGCCACCGGGCAUCCAUUUCCACGAGUCUUCAGCCGCUGCAGUAAGCGCGACCUGGACAGCUACUUCCAGAAGGGAGGUGGCAUGUGUCUCUACAAUAUGCCCAACAUGAAGGACUUGGUGGGGGGAAAGAAGUGCGGCAACGGAUUCGUGGAGGAUGGAGAAGAGUGCGACUGUGGAGAACCUGACGAAUGCACCAAUGGCUGCUGCAAUGCCAAUAACUGCACCUUGAAGGAGGAGGCUCAGUGCGCCCAUGGAGUAUGCUGUGAGGGCUGCAAAUUGAAGCAGGCAGGUACCAUGUGCCGGGGGCCAGCAGGGGCGUGUGAUCUGCCAGAGUACUGCACGGGGGCCUCUCCUUACUGUCCUGCCAAUGUCUACCUGCUGGAUGGCUCCUCCUGUCAGUACGGGCUGGCUUACUGCUACAACGGCAUGUGCCUCACCCACGAACAGCAGUGCCUGCAGCUGUGGGGCUACGGAGCUCGACCGGCCCAUGACGCCUGUUUCGAAGACGUCAACGCAGCAGGAAAUGCCUUUGGAAACUGUGGGAAAGAUGAACACGGCAACUACAUGAAGUGUGAGAAAAGAGAUGCCAAGUGCGGUAAGAUCCAGUGCCACAGUGCUGCCAAGAAGCCUAAAGGCACCAAUGCUGUUUCCAUUGACACCACCAUCAAGACGGACGGCAUCGAGGUUAAGUGCCGUGGCACCUACGUCUACAGCACCCAGGACGGCCAGGGUGACCUGCCUGACCCCGGCCUCGUCAUGACUGGCACCAAGUGUGGAGAGGGAAAGGUGUGCAGAGACCGCCGAUGCCAAAAUGCCUCUUUCACUGAGCUGGAGACUUGCAUCGCACGCUGUCACGACAACGGGGUGUGUAACAGUAACGGGAACUGCCACUGUAAUCGAGGCUGGGCUCCACCCUUCUGUGAAAAGCCAGGACUUGGCGGCAGUGUGGACAGUGGACCUAUCCAGUAUGACAGUCAGGUGGGGCUGGUGGUGGGGCUGCUGUUUGCCUUCCUGGUGGUCCUGCCUGCAGUGCUUCUGCUUUUCUACUGCUACAGGAUAAAGACGUCCUAUUACCACAAGUGGCUUUCACAAAGAGAGAAGAACAAGAGCAACAAGACGGAGGCAUCGGUGGAGAAAGGGAAGAACGGCCAUCUGAAUCCUGCCUUUCACCUGAAGGUGGUCGGACCCAUCAACAAAGCCAGCAGCCACAAGGGGCUUCCUCACACUAGCAAAGAGGUACUGCCUCUCAGACCAGGCCUGGCACCUAAUGGCACCCAGCCAGUCAACAUUGUGCGACCUCUGAGACCCGCUCAGUCUCCUCAGGGUGGUCCCCGGGACCUCAAGGCGGUUCGCCCGCCCCUGCCUGCUGGCAAACCCCCAGUGGCCCCACCCAAAUCACCCGCGACCCCACAGAGACUCAGCCCACCCAAGAAACCUCUGCCCCUCAACCCGACUCGAGCCCCACUGAGACUCCUGCUUCGUCAACCCAGCGGUCUUCGAUGGUUCGUCUUUUGGUGUCUGAGCUGCAGCCCAGACUGUCCCCCUUCCCUCCUCAGAGGCCCCUCCCCCUCAGCCCGGCCAGAGGAGCCUCCCUCAGAGCGAGUCCAGCCUUACCUGCGGUUUCCAAACCGUCUCCACGUCUGUUGGUCAUGAUGCCCCCAGCCGUGGGACCCAAACCUGUGGGCAAAGUCUCAGCCAUCCCCCCUCUCAGAGCUCUCAGACCAGUCCCAGGUGCCAAACCAAACACAGCCUCACUUCCACCAAGAAAAUGACCUUCUCCUCCACCUUCCCCUCUCUGAGGAGGCAGCGGCUGACGGCCUAUUUGCACUAAAGAGACUUUGGCUGGUGAACCACAGAGCUGUCACACACACCAGAGGAGGACAAACACAAAGUUUAAAACCAGAGACACGAAUGAACAAACAGGACUCAAACCAGUUUAGACUUCAAAAUGAACCCCCCCAAAUAACCCCCACCUCCCCUCUUCCUCUCCUUUCAAUUUUGACCCCACGCCCUACACCCUGCUCUCUCCGGCGUGCUAACAGUAGCCACAACGACGCGGUUUUGCACGGACGCCUUGCAGACUGAGACAAGUGUUAUCGCUGGGGGACGGUCACAUUUGCCAAAUCAUUUUUUCUAAAGAUUGUUUGUUUUUUUUUUUUAAUCUGUUGAUGCUGUGUAUAAAAAAAAAUGCAUUUUGUAAUGACUGCUGUUCUGUUUACAGUUUAUGUGCCAAAGAGGUCUUUUCAUACCUGGGGUGUGUCCCCAAAGCUUGAAAAUCUCCUCACGUUAAGUUUACCAUAGGUCAACUCCUCCAUCUUUGUAGGUUUUAUAAUUUAUUCAGUAGUCUGAGGAAUGUCUCAUACAGCGUGGAGAGGUGGAGGCAGAGCCUGCAGCAGCUUCUCUCAACUCUGUUUACAUGGUGGAGGACUGGAUGGACGCUCGGGGCUCACAGGACACACCCCAGUCACUCAUGUUGGUUUGAAUGUCUUUUGCUGUGUGUUAUUACUUUUAAAUUGUUGCAUAAAAUAUUUUUACAAAAUGA